RNAcentral lists this ribosomal RNA (302 nucleotides) under uncultured bacterium. RNAcentral's name for it is "partial 16S ribosomal RNA". It matches the Rfam family "Bacterial small subunit ribosomal RNA", at positions 508 to 807 of the family's 1533-position model. The record is from RNAcentral.
GCAGCAGCCACGGUAAUACGGAGGAUCCAAGCGUUAUCCGGAAUCAUUGGGUUUAAAGGGUCCGUAGGCGGUCUUGUAAGUCAGUGGUGAAAGCCCAUCGCUCAACGGUGGAACGGCCAUUGAUACUGCAGGACUUGAAUUAUUGGGAAGUAACUAGAAUAUGUAGUGUAGCGGUGAAAUGCUUAGAGAUUACAUGGAAUACCAAUUGCGAAGGCAGGUUACUACCAAUUGAUUGACGCUGAUGGACGAAAGCGUGGGUAGCGAACAGGAUUAGAUACCCGCGUAGUCCCUGUCUCUUAUAC